GGGCCAAGCUUAGAAGUGGCACUCAUCACUUCCUCUUACAUUUCACUGGCUAGAACUUAACACAUGGACAUCUGCAAGGCAGUCUGCAGACUAUAGUUUAGAUGUGUUCCCAGAAGGAAAGUGAAAUGGAUUUGGUGACUAGCUAACCAGUCUCCUGCCCCAGGUUCUGGGACUAAAAGAUGCACCAGCCCAGAGAAGCAGCAGUCCAAAGGGAGGAAUAACUGGGCCCUGGAUAGAAUGUGAUGAAUGAAUAUUCUUAAUGAGAAGUGGAAAUAAUUUGUGGUUGAGAGCUGUGCCUCAGAUCAGAGUGACAGGAUACAUGGCUAGGCUAUAUUUUCCAGCAGAUUAAGAGCUGCAGCCCAAGACUCUGAAAUAUGAAGAAAAAAGGAGAAGAUGACAGCAUAUCUUUUUAAAGAAAUAUUUUCCAGCCAAGUGGUGCAGCAGAGGACUUCCAGGAAUUUGUUCUUGUUCUGUAUCAAAGCUUUUUACAUGCUGCACCAAUACUGGGUCUAGCUGCAGCUUUGCUGGGUCGCAGAGGCUGAAGA
Molecule: long non-coding RNA, 545 nt
Filed under: Gorilla gorilla gorilla (western lowland gorilla)
Lineage: Eukaryota; Metazoa; Chordata; Mammalia; Primates; Hominidae
Description: lncRNA (ENSGGOG00000044503.1)
Source: RNAcentral